Molecule: long non-coding RNA, 319 nt
Organism: Sinocyclocheilus grahami
Lineage: Eukaryota; Metazoa; Chordata; Actinopteri; Cypriniformes; Cyprinidae
Exons: 4
Source: RefSeq, a predicted model, not a curated record
GCGAGGACAGAGUUUGGCGGUUAAGAGUUUCUCACGACGAACCCCUGCCUCGCAGAACAGCCCAGAUGGAGUCUCGGCCGCAGAGACGUCAGCUAUCGAGACCUCUACCCAGCAGGCCUUGCACUACGCGCUGACUGGAGCCACACAACAAGUCCAGAUCCACCGUAUUGGAGAAGACGGGCAGGUGCAAGUUAUACCGCAGGGACACCUCCACAUUGCUCAGGUGCCACAGGGCGAACAGGUGCAGAUCACACAGGACAGCGAGGGCAACCUACAGAUCCACCAAGUACAUGUUGGGCAAGAUGGCCAGGUAAAUGUA